AGUCCUAUAACGAGCGCAACCCCUAUUUCUAGUUGCCAGCACAUAAUGGUGGGGACUCUAGAGAGACUGCCGGUGCAAACCGUGAGGAAGGUGGGGAUGACGUCAAAUCAUCACGGCCCUUACGUCCUGGGCUACACACGUGCUACAAUGGUAGGGACAGAGAGCAGCCACUUCGCGAGAAGGAGCGAAUCUACAAACCCUAUCUCAGUUCGGAUCGCAGUCUGCAACUCGACUGCGUGAAGCUGGAAUCGCUAGUAAUCGCAUAUCAGCCAUGAUGCGGUGAAUACGUUCCCGGGCCUU
RNAcentral lists this ribosomal RNA (300 nucleotides) under uncultured bacterium. RNAcentral describes it as "bacterial SSU rRNA". It matches the Rfam family "Bacterial small subunit ribosomal RNA", at positions 1083 to 1382 of the family's 1533-position model. The record is from RNAcentral.